This 461-nucleotide ribosomal RNA is filed under the name uncultured bacterium. RNAcentral describes it as "partial 16S ribosomal RNA". It matches the Rfam family "Bacterial small subunit ribosomal RNA", at positions 338 to 795 of the family's 1533-position model. The record is from RNAcentral.
CCUACGGGAGGCAGCAGUGAGGAAUAUUGGUCAAUGGGCGGGAGCCUGAACCAGCCAAGUCGCGUGAGGGAAGACGGUCCUACGGAUUGUAAACCUCUUUUGCCGGGGAGCAACGGGGUCCUUGCGAGGGCCCAAUGAGAGUACCCGGAGAAAAAGCAUCGGCUAACUCCGUGCCAGCAGCCGCGGUAAUACGGAGGAUGCGAGCGUUAUCCGGAUUUAUUGGGUUUAAAGGGAGCGUAGGUGGAUUGUUAAGUCAGUUGUGAAAGUUUGCGGCUCAACCGUAAAAUUGCAGUUGAAACUGGCAGUCUUGAGUACAGUAGAGGUGGGCGGAAUUCGUGGUGUAGCGGUGAAAUGCUUAGAUAUCACGAAGAACUCCGAUUGCGAAGGCAGUUCACUGGACUGCAACUGACACUGAGGCUCGAAAGUGUGGGUAUCAAACAGGAUUAGAUACCCGAGUAGUC